GUAGGGGGCGUGAGAGCGUGGCCCCCCACACUGGCACUGAGAUACGGGCCAGACUCCUACGGGAGGCAGCAGUGAGGAAUAUUGCACAAUGGGCGCAAGCCUGAUGCAGCAACGCCGCGUGCGGGACGAAGGCCUUCGGGUCGUAAACCGCUUUUCUGGGGAAAGAGCAAGGACGGUACCUCAGGAAUAAGUCUCGGCUAACUACGUGCCAGCAGCCGCGGUAAAACGUAGGAGGCGAGCGUUAUCCGGAUUUACUGGGCGUAAAGCGCACGCAGGCGGCUCCGUGAGUCGGACGUGAAAGCUCUCGGCUUAACCGGGAGAGGCCGUUCGAUACUGCGGGGCUUGAGGUAGGGAGAGGAAUGCGGAAUUCCCGGUGUAGUGGUGGAAUGCGUAGAUAUCGGGAGGAACACCUGUGGCGAAAGCGGCAUUCUGGCCCUCACCUGACGCUGAGGUGCGAAAGCGUGGGUAGCAAACAGGAUUAGAUACCCUGGUAGUCCACGCCGUAAACGAUGUCAACUGGGUGUCGGUAGUUUUACACUAGCGGUGCCGAAGCUAACGCG
This 560-nucleotide ribosomal RNA is filed under the name uncultured bacterium. RNAcentral's name for it is "bacterial SSU rRNA". It matches the Rfam family "Bacterial small subunit ribosomal RNA", at positions 283 to 859 of the family's 1533-position model. The record is from RNAcentral.